This 254-nucleotide ribosomal RNA is filed under the name uncultured bacterium. RNAcentral describes it as "partial 16S ribosomal RNA". It matches the Rfam family "Bacterial small subunit ribosomal RNA", at positions 524 to 776 of the family's 1533-position model. The record is from RNAcentral.
UACGGGGGGAGCAAGCGUUGUUCGGAUUUACUGGGCGUAAAGGGCGCGUAGGCGGUCAGCACAAGUCAGUUGUGAAAUCUCCGAGCUUAACUCGGAAAGGUCGACUGAUACUGUGCGACUAGAGUGCAGAAGGGGCAACUGGAAUUCUCGGUGUAGCGGUGAAAUGCGUAGAUAUCGAGAGGAACACCUGCGGCGAAGGCGGGUUGCUGGGCUGACACUGACGCUGAUGCGCGAAAGCUAGGGGAGCGAACGGG